This 465-nucleotide ribosomal RNA is filed under the name Vreelandella stevensii. RNAcentral's name for it is "partial 16S ribosomal RNA". It matches the Rfam family "Bacterial small subunit ribosomal RNA", at positions 338 to 795 of the family's 1533-position model. The record is from RNAcentral. Lineage: Bacteria; Pseudomonadati; Pseudomonadota; Gammaproteobacteria; Oceanospirillales; Halomonadaceae.
CCUACGGGUGGCUGCAGUGGGGAAUAUUGGACAAUGGGGGCAACCCUGAUCCAGCCAUGCCGCGUGUGUGAAGAAGGCCCUCGGGUUGUAAAGCACUUUCAGUGAGGAAGAACGCCUGGUGGUUAAUACCCAUCAGGAAAGACAUCACUCACAGAAGAAGCACCGGCUAACUCCGUGCCAGCAGCCGCGGUAAUACGGAGGGUGCGAGCGUUAAUCGGAAUUACUGGGCGUAAAGCGCGCGUAGGUGGCUUGAUAAGCCGGUUGUGAAAGCCCCGGGCUCAACCUGGGAACGGCGUCCGGAACUGUCAAGCUAGAGUGCAGGAGAGGAAGGUAGAAUUCCCGGUGUAGCGGUGAAAUGCGUAGAGAUCGGGAGGAAUACCAGUGGCGAAGGCGGCCUUCUGGACUGACACUGACACUGAGGUGCGAAAGCGUGGGUAGCAAACAGGAUUAGAUACCCCUGUAGUC